RNAcentral lists this ribosomal RNA (472 nucleotides) under Mycolicibacterium fortuitum. RNAcentral's name for it is "bacterial SSU rRNA". It matches the Rfam family "Bacterial small subunit ribosomal RNA", at positions 1 to 495 of the family's 1533-position model. Lineage: Bacteria; Bacillati; Actinomycetota; Actinomycetes; Mycobacteriales; Mycobacteriaceae. The record is from RNAcentral.
UAAGAGUUUGAUCAUGGCUCAGGACGAACGCUGGCGGCGUGCUUAACACAUGCAAGUCGAACGGAAAGGCCCUUCGGGGUACUCGAGUGGCGAACGGGUGAGUAACACGUGGGUGAUCUGCCCUGCACUUUGGGAUAAGCCUGGGAAACUGGGUCUAAUACCGAAUAUGACCACGCGCUUCAUGGUGUGUGGUGGAAAGCUUUUGCGGUGUGGGAUGGGCCCGCGGCCUAUCAGCUUGUUGGUGGGGUAAUGGCCUACCAAGGCGACGACGGGUAGCCGGCCUGAGAGGGUGACCGGCCACACUGGGACUGAGAUACGGCCCAGACUCCUACGGGAGGCAGCAGUGGGGAAUAUUGCACAAUGGGCGCAAGCCUGAUGCAGCGACGCCGCGUGAGGGAUGACGGCCUUCGGGUUGUAAACCUCUUUCAAUAGGGACGAAGCGCAAGUGACGGUACCUAUAGAAGAAGGACGG